GGUGAGAUGGCCGAGCGGUCUAAGGCGCCAGACUAAGGAGACCAACACAUUUGAUGUGUAGAUUUAACGUAUCUGGUCACAUUGUGGCGUGGGUUCGAAUCCCACUCUCAUCA
RNAcentral lists this transfer RNA (113 nucleotides) under Lentinula boryana. RNAcentral's name for it is "tRNA-Leu". It matches the Rfam family "tRNA". Rfam says of the family: Transfer RNA (tRNA) molecules are approximately 80 nucleotides in length. Lineage: Eukaryota; Fungi; Basidiomycota; Agaricomycetes; Agaricales; Omphalotaceae. The record is from RNAcentral.